AGGAGGAGCCGCGGCCCGGGCGACAGCGCCCGAGUUCCCCGUAGGGCCCGCCCGGGAGCGGGCGGCGGUGGAGGAGGACGCCGAGGCCAGGAUGGCGGCGUCGGCCCUGUACGCCUGCACCAAGUGCACGCAGCGCUACCCGUUCGAGGAGCUCUCCCAGGGCCAGCAGCUCUGCAAGGAAUGUCGGAUUGCACAUCCUAUUGUAAAAUGUACUUACUGCAGAUCAGAAUUCCAACAAGAGAGCAAAACUAACACAAUUUGUAAGAAGUGUGCUCAAAAUGUCAAGCAGUUUGGGACACCCAAGCCUUGUCAGUACUGUAACAUAAUUGCAGCAUUUAUUGGUACCAAGUGUCAGCGCUGCACAAAUUCAGAAAAAAAGUAUGGACCACCUCAGACCUGUGAACAGUGCAAACAGCAGUGUGCUUUUGAUCGGAAGGAGGAGGGGAGAAGAAAGGUUGAUGGAAAGUUGUUGUGCUGGCUCUGUACUUUGUCGUACAAGAGAGUUUUACAGAAGACAAAAGAACAGAGGAAGAGCUUGGGAUCUUCACAUUCAAAUUCCUCAUCUUCAUCUCUUACUGAGAAAGACCAGCAUCAUGCAAAACACCAUCACCACCACCACCAUCACCACCAUCGUCACAGCAGUAGCCAUCACAAAAUCAGCAAUCUAAGCCCAGAACAAGAGCAGGGACUAUGGAAACAGAGCCAUAAAUCCUCUGCAGCAAUUCAGAAUGAAACUCCAAAGAAAAAGCCCAAAUUGGAAUCUAAGCCAUCUAAUGGAGAUAGUAGCUCUAUAAAUCAGUCAGCAGAUAGUGGGGGAACAGACAAUUUUGUCCUUAUCAGUCAGCUGAAAGAAGAAGUGAUGUCACUUAAGCGUCUCUUACAGCAGAGGGACCAGACCAUUUUAGAGAAAGAUAAGAAGUUAACAGAACUAAAGGCAGACUUUCAGUACCAAGAGUCAAAUUUGAGAACAAAGAUGAACAGUAUGGAAAAAGCUCACAAAGAAACCGUGGAACAACUUCAGGCCAAAAACAGAGAACUACUCAAACAGGUUGCAGCACUGUCAAAGGGUAAAAAGUUUGACAAAAGCGGGAGCUUGCUAACAUCUCCUUGAAAAGGUUCCGUGUCCGGUUUGUGCUCACAGUGUAAAUUGGGGGAGUUCUGUGUGGUGGAAAAUAUUUUUGCACACCAAAUGAAUUGGCGUGUUUACUAUUCACUUUUGUAACUGAUAUACAACAUUUUUUAAGUUGUGAAAACAUUCAAAUAAAACUUCAACUGGUUUGAAGUAACUUUUUAAUUAACGAUACCCAGCAACUUUUUGCCAGCAAUAGUAUUAAGCCGUUGUGAGGGAGUGCGUGAGCAGUGCUCUUUAUAAAGCAACUUGCAAUAAUAGGGAGGCGUGGCUAUAAGUCAGAGCAGCAGGGCUUUUGCUUUUGUUUUUGUUUAACACUAUGCUAAUUUCAGAAGAUAGUUUUCAAUUUAGAAAUAAAAAGCUUUUAAAUAAGGAAAAUGGUGAACACUGGUUUUGGGGAAUUGUAUUUUUACUUUGCAUCAACAUGAAUUCAGGAGAGAAUCACGGUGCUUUUAUUAAAAGGACUUCAGAGUAUCUGUGUAUAUGUUUUUACAGGCUCCUUCAUUAACAUUAGCACCCAGCAUUUUCAUUAUUGGCAUAGAAAGUAAUGUUUAUUGUACAGUAUCCGAGGCAAAAGGUGUUUCGUUUUGUAAAAACUACUGUAGAUUUUUACUUACAAGUGCCUUUUCCACCUAAUGUUUUUAUUUAUAGGAAUGCUGAUCUUUUGUACAUAGUUUGUUUUAAAAUCAUGUUUAAUAAAUGUUUGUAUAUAAAUGCAUAUGUACAAAAGCCUAUUUCAAAAAGAAAUCAAAGUUGCUGGUAACAGUUUGAGGUUACGUAUUAAGAACUGACUGAUACUGCAUAGAGACUUGAGGUGAUUUUGUGCUUAUUUCUGUGUAAUAAGGGAGGCUGUUAUUGAACUCACUUAAUUAUGCUGAAAUACUGCCUAAAGAUUUAAUUUUGACUCAUUUCUGAUAGAGUAAAUUUAUUUUUUGUUAUACGGCUUCAUGUUCAUAUUUUGUGAGUUACAUGUUUUACUUUAUUUUUUAUAUAAAUUUUCUUUAAAAUGUAUGCUUCUACAAUGGUUCAUAUAUCUGCUUUCCCUAUAAUGUUGGUUAUCUAAGUUAAUAUUUAUGUAUACCAUACUUAAUUUGUAAAUUUAAUGCAAAUUUGGAAGAAAUGACUUUUUAUAAUCUAAUCUGCUUAUCUUUGAGUGAGUUGGAAUCUACUGUGAGAUUCAGGCACUAUUUAUAAGUAAAUUGUCUCAGAGUCUUUACAAUUGUCUAUAAAGCUUAAGAGAGAGUGGGAUAGAGUUUGUUAAGUUACUGGUUCUAUUCUCAUCUAAUGCUCUUCAGAUGGAAUGGAAGUUGAUCUCCUACUUAAGGUCAGUGCAGACUUAGUUCAACUGUAAAGCCUCAGUCAUUGUUAGAUAUAUUGUAUAGAGUGGAAGAGUUCUUUACCUUAGGAGUUUAUGGACAGAGAUCAAUUUGUUUCAAGUAAACAGUUAAGUUGAUCAGUUUUGAAGGUUUUGGUUUUAGACAAAUUGGAUUAUGAAUUUCACAUCAAACAUCAGCUUUCUUAAAAACAUGGUGAUUAUAACCAUUCUUUUUAACAUGAUUCAUGUUUCAGUAAACUAUUCCUAUAGUUGUUUAUAACAAGUGGUAAUCUGUCCAAUUUGGAAACAUAUAAUCUAGUUGAUUUUCAAGUAAUAGUAAGAUUGAAUCAGUCAGAUUUGGAAAAAUUGUACCAACUUAUUUUUAUGAAAUCUUCAGACAACUAAUCUUAAAUUUAUUACUCUCAACCAUGGUAGAAAUGCCUUAACAUGGAUUUUAAUGUUUGCAGAAUUUGUUAAAUUCAUAAGAUAGUCAUUAUCUUUCUUUAAGAUUUGUAAUGUUUUGUAUUCUGGUUUCAUACCUGUUUGCCAACCCACAGUGGUCAUUAUGGUUCUAAGAUAAAAUACAAUAGUUCAUGUAUCUUGUUGGAGAUGCUGCAAAAGAAAAUUGCCUCUCCCCUUUAGUGAACAGUAAGAUUGAAAAAUCAGUUUAAAUAAUUAAGCUUUGUAAAUUCCAAGGUUAAAACCCUUUUAGGGACUUCAUGGUAUUUAGUCCUAAGUAAGUACCCAAUCUUUAUUCCAUGACCUUAUUUUAUAACGUAAAUCUUUACAACUGUAUAAAUAGUAAUUGAGUCCCAGUACUGGAUCUGUAGUGUAUUGACAUAAUGAGCCGAUACUCUGUAAACGUGACCUGUAAGGAGAUUGGAUGUGUGCCGUUUUGUGCUUUUAGCCUGUUUCCUGCAAUUGAUUAGCAUUUCCCAGUGAGGGUCAUUUUGGCUCAAGUUAUUUAUGUAUUAAUAGUCCUUUUUAGAUUGUAUUGGUCUACAUAUGCAUUCUGCCGUGAACCUGUGUAUAGACCAUUGAAAUACUGUACUUGUACACAUCUGACUGUUGACAUUUUGUACUUUUUCUAAAUCCAAUAUUUCACAAUAAAAACCUGUCAGUUGCUUUGUAUUCAUUGCCUAUUUCUGUUGCACCACUUAGUAGCUUAAAACAACAAAAAAUUAUUUAACAGUCUUGGAGGCCAAAAGUCUAAAACUGGCCAGAACAAGGGCUGUCCUUGUGGAGGUUCUAAGGGAGAAUCCAACUUCUGGAGUGGUGUUCCUUGCAUUCUGUUACUUUGCUGACCCUUCUUGUGUCUUCAGAGCCAUAAGUGUGGCAUCUUUAAGUCUCUGCUUCCAUCAUCUUUCUUUUGCCUUACUGUCUGCCUGUCUUCCCUGUAAUAAGGACCAUCAUUGGGUCCACCUGGAUGAAUGGGAUGACUUCUGCAUCUUAUCCUUAGUCACAUCUGCAAAGUCCUGAAGCUCCUAUAGUCUCAGACUCAAAGCGGCGUCAAUUAGACGUCUUUGGGGCCACUAUGGAGACUUCUGUAAGCGUCAUUGUUUUUCCUGUUUUCUCAGCAUGAAGUCCUAAAACAAAAGACGACAGGUGCAGGCCAAACAUUAUAAUUUUCCUACCCAUUCAGUCUGCUUUGGUACAAUAGUUUCUUCUGGGGAAAGGGAGGGGUGUGUAAACUUUUUAUUUAUGCUUUCAAAGCAACAAUAAAGCAAACCAAGAUAUAUAUGUAGUUCCACACUUUGAGAAUGAGUGCUGUAAGAAAAGGCAUGAGGUAGGGAAAGAAUAGGUUUAGGAAAAACAAGAGGGAGACAUUGUAGGAGGGACUGGGCAUGAACUUGGAGAGGUUUUCUGGAGCCCCACUGUAAAUGUAGUUUGGGUAGAGACCACCAGAUUUGUGAAGAGGAAGUGACCUAAGAGCAGAUAAGGACAGAAACCAGGAAUCAUUUUCUCUAAGUCUUGAUUUUACAGAGGAAACAACAGGUAAGCAUAAGUGACUUAGGUGUUGACUUUCCUUAAUGUCCUUCUGUCUUCCAAAAACAGUUCAAGAUAGCUUGGCUUAAGUGUCUUGUAGGUGGCAGAUUUGCUGCACAAAGUGACCAUUUUUAAAGGAGGUAUAUACACAGCCAUGUCGGGCAUAGCUAAGAAGUUGAGAACAAGUCGGUUGUCAUAAGCUUCUAGGCAGAGAAGAAUUUCAGUUCUUAACAAUGUGUUGGAUAAUUUUAAAAGGCUGUAAUUUUUUUCAUGUUUAGACCUGCUGUCCCUGUCCUUGAAAUGUGUGAUGCCAGUCACUUCUCAAGAAAACUGUAAUCUGAGAAAUACCAUUAGAGGAUUAGAGAAUGAAUUUUUCCCCAAAAGAUCUAAGACUUGCUUUUAAGAUAAAGACCACCAACCACAGGAAAUGACCAAAGAAGUAAAUAGACAGUUUGUAGGAAAAGUAAAACAAAUGGUUCUUAAUCAAAUGAGAAAAGUGAAAAUUAAAGGUUUGUGAAGUUGCCACUUCUCACCGAGAGGCUGACAGAAUCCCAAGUUGGAAACAGACACUCAAGUAUCAAGGAUGGUCACAGCAAAAUUAUCCCAAUAGAGCUGAAUAAUACUCCAUUGUGUAUAUGUACCACGUUUUGUUUAUCCAUCCUGAGGCACCUAGCCUGAUUCCACAGCUUGGCUAUUGUGAAUGAUGCUGCUGCAAACAUGAAUGUACAGGUACCUCUACUGUAUGCUGGACAUUGCUUCAUAUGUAUGCCUACAAGUGUUAAUAGCAAAGUCAUAAAGUAGUUUUGUUUUAAUUUUCAUGGAACUUCGUAUUCAUUUCCGUUUUGGCUGUACUAAUUUACAUUUCAAUCAACAGUAUAUAAAGAUU
Non-coding RNA from Castor canadensis (American beaver), 5316 nucleotides. The record is from RefSeq and is a predicted model, not a curated record. Lineage: Eukaryota; Metazoa; Chordata; Mammalia; Rodentia; Castoridae.